CAGUCGCCACGGUAAUACGUAGGGGGCAAGCGUUGUCCGGAAUUAUUGGGCGUAAAGCGCGCGCAGGCGGUCAUUUAAGUCUGGUGUUUAAUCCCGGGGCUCAACCCCGGAUCGCACUGGAAACUGGGUGACUUGAGUGCAGAAGAGGAGAGUGGAAUUCCACGUGUAGCGGUGAAAUGCGUAGAUAUGUGGAGGAACACCAGUGGCGAAGGCGACUCUCUGGGCUGUAACUGACGCUGAGGCGCGAAAGCGUGGGGAGCAAACAGGAUUAGAUACCCGUGUAGUCCCUGUCUCUUAUACA
Molecule: ribosomal RNA, 301 nt
Filed under: uncultured bacterium
Lineage: Bacteria
Description: partial 16S ribosomal RNA
Rfam family: Bacterial small subunit ribosomal RNA
Source: RNAcentral